This 1292-nucleotide ribosomal RNA is filed under the name uncultured bacterium. RNAcentral's name for it is "bacterial SSU rRNA". It matches the Rfam family "Bacterial small subunit ribosomal RNA", at positions 94 to 1399 of the family's 1533-position model. The record is from RNAcentral.
AGUGGCGGACGGGUGAGUAACACGUGAGCAAUCUGCCUUUCAGAGGGGGAUACCGAUUGGAAACGAUCGUUAAUACCGCAUAACAUAAUUGAACCGCAUGAUUUGAUUAUCAAAGAUUUAUCGCUGAAAGAUGAGCUCGCGUCUGAUUAGCUAGUUGGUAAGGUAACGGCUUACCAAGGCGACGAUCAGUAGCCGGACUGAGAGGUUGAUCGGCCACAUUGGGACUGAGACACGGCCCAGACUCCUACGGGAGGCAGCAGUGGGGAAUAUUGCACAAUGGGGGAAACCCUGAUGCAGCGACGCCGCGUGAGCGAUGAAGUAUUUCGGUAUGUAAAGCUCUAUCAGCAGGGAAGAAAAUGACGGUACCUGACUAAGAAGCACCGGCUAAAUACGUGCCAGCAGCCGCGGUAAUACGUAUGGUGCAAGCGUUAUCCGGAUUUACUGGGUGUAAAGGGAGCGUAGACGGAGUGGCAAGUCUGAUGUGAAAACCCGGGGCUCAACCCCGGGACUGCAUUGGAAACUGUCAAUCUAGAGUACCGGAGAGGUAAGCGGAAUUCCUAGUGUAGCGGUGAAAUGCGUAGAUAUUAGGAGGAACACCAGUGGCGAAGGCGGCUUACUGGACGGUAACUGACGUUGAGGCUCGAAAGCGUGGGGAGCAAACAGGAUUAGAUACCCUGGUAGUCCACGCCGUAAACGAUGACUACCUGGGGGGCGGGCAGCAAAGCCUGUUCGGUGCCGCAGCAAACUCAAUAAAGUAGUCCACCGGGGGAUUGCGUUUCGCAAGAAGAAAGCUCAAAAGGAAUUGACGGGGACCCGCACAAGCGGUGGAGCAUGUGGGUUUAAUUCGAAGCAACGCGAAGAACCUUACCAAGUCUUGACAUCCUUCUGACCGGUACUUAACCGUACCUUCUCUUCGGAGCAGGAGCGACAGGUGGUGCAUGGUUGUGGUCAGCUCGUGUCGUGAGAUGUUGGGUUAAGUCCCGCAACGAGCGCAACCCUUAUCUUUAGUAGCCAGCGGUCCGGCCGGGCACUCUAGAGAGACUGCCAGGGAUAACCUGGAGGAAGGCGGGGAUGACGUCAAAUCAUCAUGCCCCUUAUGAGCAGGGCUACACACGUGCUACAAUGGCGUAAACAAAGGGAAGCAGAGUCGUGAGGCCGAGCAAAUCCCAAAAAUAACGUCUCAGUUCGGAUUGUAGUCUGCAACUCGACUACAUGAAGCUGGAAUCGCUAGUAAUCGCGAAUCAGAAUGUCGCGGUGAAUAAAAUCCCGGGUCUUGCACUCGCCGCCCGUCA